This 407-nucleotide ribosomal RNA is filed under the name uncultured bacterium. RNAcentral's name for it is "partial 16S ribosomal RNA". It matches the Rfam family "Bacterial small subunit ribosomal RNA", at positions 30 to 526 of the family's 1533-position model. The record is from RNAcentral.
AUUGAACGCUGGCGGCAGGCCUAACACAUGCAAGUCGAGCGGAGCGGCGGACGGGUGAGUAAUGCCUAGGAAUCUGCCUGGUAGUGGGGGAUAACGUCCGGAAACGGGCGCUAAUACCGCAUACUAUCAGAUGAGCCUAGGUCGGAUUAGCUUGUUGGUGGGGUACCGGCUCACCAAGGCGACGAUCCCUAGCUGGUCUGAGAGGAUGACCAGCCACCCUGGAACUGAGACACGGGCCAGCCUCCUCCGGGAGGCAUCAGUUGGGAAUAUUGCCCAAUGGGCGCAAGCCUGAUGCAGCCAUGCCGCGUGUAUGAAGAAGGCCGUCGGGUUGUAAAGUACUUUCAGCUGGGAGGCGUUACCCGCAGAAGAAGCACCGGCUAACUCCGUGCCAGCAGCCGCGGUAAUUC